CAGGAGGUUGUGUGAGGGACAGAAAGGGCAAGGUGCCAUAUGAAGGACAGACAGGGUUAGGUGGCUGGGACAGGAAGGAGUGAGCUGGAAAUGCAGAAGGAAGAGAGAAAGAGCCAGAGCUGUGUGGAGUUGCCCAUGGUAGGCUACCUAGAAAAGAGUGGGACUUCAGGAUUCUCUCAAUUAAUACAAAAAACCCCAUCACAGUUAGGAUGAACAUCUGGAUUUUCUCCUGUUGUUCUCAGGACAGAGAACAGAGAUCCACUGCCUUGAAGCUUUAUGGGAAAAGAAAGGAGAAAGACUGAACCAAAAGAAGUGCAAUCUGCCCUAUACUGAGGAAUUGUACCAAAUCAAGCAGCUCCCUCACAGGACUGCCACUGUCUUGUCCAGAUUUUAUCCAGCAGUUUUGUCAGUGCUGUGUCUUCACAUUCUUAAUUGUGGUGGUAUUUCUGUUUAAGUAGCCUUUGUGGAUAGCUAGAAAGCAAAGGGAACCAUGUUUUCCAUGUUUUUUGCACCAGAAGACAACUUUCUGUGAUCAGAGAAAUGGACUGGCAGGAACUGUUCACUCAAAUAAUCACCUCCAUGAGACAUAAGUGUAUGUAUGGAAAGAGCUGGGAGAGAGAGAGGUUCUUUUAAGGCCCUGAUGAAUCAGCCAUGGUUAUGAGGAAAUAGUUAUUCAGAGUGCUGUCAGAGUGAAGCAUAAUGUUCUUCAGC
Hirundo rustica (Barn swallow) is the source of this 711-nucleotide long non-coding RNA. RefSeq lists it as uncharacterized. The record is from RefSeq and is a predicted model, not a curated record. Lineage: Eukaryota; Metazoa; Chordata; Aves; Passeriformes; Hirundinidae. The transcript is spliced from 3 exons.